UAAGAUAAGAUUUUUAAGAGGAGAGAGGGAAAGGACACGUGUCGUGAACUCACCAUAACAUCAACAUCAAUGUUUAUGCAAUGCAUGUACACUGAAACUAUUCAACCCAGGUUCUCUUUCCUAGAAUCCAGAGUCGCCCUUAAGACACGCCCUGACUCUCCUGACCCAACUUGUUCGGGUGGGUCCGCUCCAAUUUCCCAUGACCCACAUGCACCUCGUUUUUACCUUCUUUACCCCUCCUUCUCCCUCUUAUUUACGAAACUACCACUGCCUCU
Molecule: long non-coding RNA, 275 nt
Filed under: Carica papaya (papaya)
Lineage: Eukaryota; Viridiplantae; Streptophyta; Magnoliopsida; Brassicales; Caricaceae
Description: long non-coding RNA (CPAP_LNC011297)
Source: RNAcentral